Molecule: long non-coding RNA, 1019 nt
Filed under: Chinchilla lanigera (long-tailed chinchilla)
Lineage: Eukaryota; Metazoa; Chordata; Mammalia; Rodentia; Chinchillidae
Description: lncRNA (ENSCLAG00000027984.1)
Source: RNAcentral
AGUUUACAUUAAAUGAAAGUUUAAAUAUAUAAUCCUUUUCCAGAACUUGAGAGGCCAAAGCAGGAGAAUCACAAGUUCAAGGCCACCCUGGGCGGCAUAACAAACUCACACUCUUGAAUCCUAUGCUGGAAUCCAUUUAUCACCAACAUGAAGAGCUGGUGGGCCAGGAGGAUGUGGAGGAAGAGAGAUAACAACAAAACUCUCCCCAGGAAAGACAGAACUUGCUGGUCCUCGAUUUACUGCAGGGAAGAAAGAUACCCUGCGGAGGGGCCAUGUGCUUCAGUCAAGUUUCUUGAGUUUCUUUUUGUCCUCCAAUUGGAAUUUUCAUUUGGAAUAAAAAUUGUCUUCUCAGCUAAAAAUAAAGUUACUCUAUGAAACUUGGUUUUGUUUUGGAUUUUUUUUCUUCUUGAACCAAACCUGAGAACCCUGCUGUUAAAUGGGAGAGGUGGAGAUGUUUAACAGGGCCAAAUUUGGGAACUCCUGGGUGCUAAUCAAAAUAGUAUUAAAAUAAGUUUAAAAACCAUCUUUUUACCUCUAUUCUGAAAAUUGACCAUGGUAUUCAAAUUGAAUGGCUAUCUCACAUAGUAGCUGGUAAUUUUGCAAACUAUAUAUAUGAGCAUAUUUUCUUCUUCAGAUUCCAUGUUUGUUCAGAUUUCAUGUUUGUUUUCCCUUCAUUUUCUUAUUCCAAUUUGACAUAGUAAAAAUUAGAGUUCCUUUUCUCCUAAUAGUUUGCCAGGUCGAACUUCCAACGACUCGCCUCAACAGCCACCAACUAACAAGGAUCUGGUAAAACAAUCGAAAGUUUGCAAGAGAUGAAUCCAUAGUUUAUUUUACACAGUAUGUAGAGGAAUGUUUCACCCAUUGUUCACACAUCUUUAGCUGCCUUUUAUUUUCUCAGAUCUGUUCUCAGGGCUCCUUGUAAGGCCAGACUUUUAGUCAGACUGGCAGUCUGACUAAAAGACACUACGCUGCCACUUACCACUAUGUGGGCAAUGUCACGCAUAUUUGCCACUCUCUAA